ACCGCGCCUGCGCGAGCGCGCGAGGGGGCGGGGCCGCCGCCCUCCCCUCAGGAGCGCUGCGCUGCCCCCUCUCUCCCCUCAGGCGUUCGGUGCGCAAAGUUCGUGGGUUUUAACGCAAGAAAUCCGUGUUUUCCCGUCUCCAGCACCAUCCCAGCGACAUAAAUUACGUGGGACCAGGGCUGGAGGUAACCAGGAGAGAACCAGACCCCUGGGGCACCGCAGGAUGUGAAACAUGGGAUUUUCUGGACUGAAAAUGAGAGUGGUCACUUUGUCAGAGGUGCUCCCUCAAACCCCAUUAUGAAAACUCUCCUGAAAGUCCUGCUGGUUCUCAGAAGGAGCCUCCUGGCACUUCCACUCCCCAGCAGCUCCAUCCUCAUCACAGCCCAGGGCUGUGGGAUCAGAGUUGGACCUGCAGCUCCAGUUCCUGGCUGCUCUGGACCAUGCCAUGUCUGCAGGAUGCGAGGUGACACUGAAUCGUUACACCAAUUUAUUGUUAUCCGGAGAAUUUUCCAUUACCAGGCAUCCUCUGGCAGCUGGUAAAGACAAUUUGGGACAAGAAGGGACUGCAGCACAAAUAAAGACGUGGCUCGUUAA
This is a long non-coding RNA of Oenanthe melanoleuca, 594 nucleotides long. RefSeq lists it as uncharacterized. The record is from RefSeq and is a predicted model, not a curated record. NCBI's taxonomy places the organism in Eukaryota, Metazoa, Chordata, Aves, Passeriformes, Muscicapidae. The transcript is spliced from 4 exons.